ACGAACGCUGGCGGCGUGCUUAACACAUGCCAGUCGCACGGAAAGGCCUCUUUCGGGGGGUACUCGAGUGGCGAACGGGUGAGUAACACGUGAGUAACCUGCCCUUGACUUUGGGAUAACUUCAGGAAACUGGGGCUAAUACCGGAUAGGAGCUCCUGCUGCAUGGUGGGGGUUGGAAAGUUUCGGCGGUUGGGGAUGGACUCGCGGCUUAUCAGCUUGUUGGUGGGGUAGUGGCUUACCAAGGCUUUGACGGGUAGCCGGCCUGAGAGGGUGACCGGCCACAUUGGGACUGAGAUACGGCCCAGACUCCUACGGGAGGCAGCAGUGGGGAAUAUUGCACAAUGGGUGGAAGCCUGAUGCAGCAACGCCGUGUGCGGGAUGACGGCCUUCGGGUUGUAAACCGCUUUCGCUCAUGACGAAGCUUUGUGUGACGGUAGUGGGUAAAGAAGCACCGGCUAACUACGUG
RNAcentral lists this ribosomal RNA (466 nucleotides) under uncultured bacterium. Its description in RNAcentral is "partial 16S ribosomal RNA". It matches the Rfam family "Bacterial small subunit ribosomal RNA", at positions 29 to 507 of the family's 1533-position model. The record is from RNAcentral.